Molecule: unclassified non-coding RNA, 160 nt
Filed under: rhizosphere metagenome
Description: partial ribosomal RNA internal transcribed spacer region
Source: RNAcentral
GUGGGGCUUCGGCCCCAUUGAGAUAGCACCCUUUGCUUAUGAGUACCCUUGUUUCCUCGGCGGGCUUGCCCGCCAUGAGGACAUCCAAAACCCUUUGUAGUAGCAGUAACUUCAGUUAAUAACAAAUAUUAAAACUUUCAACAACGGAUCUCUUGGUUCU